This 842-nucleotide long non-coding RNA is filed under the name Triticum aestivum (bread wheat). RNAcentral describes it as "long non-coding RNA (TAES_LNC005027)". The record is from RNAcentral. Lineage: Eukaryota; Viridiplantae; Streptophyta; Magnoliopsida; Poales; Poaceae.
CCGGUCUGCCACCGUCAGCGUCCUCCUCCAACAUCGGCUGCAUCAAAGGUGGGGGGCUCUCCUUCCUCUCCAUCUCCUUAUAUCUGACUAAUUUUUUGGGUUAGCUUGAGAUGGAAGCUCUGUUCAUGUCUUUCUCUCUCACGGUUUACCUACAAUCCUUUAACUCAAGCACUGUCAUCAAGCAUCUGCCGAGAUAGGAUGGGUCGUGCUCAUCUCUCCGAUCUGGUUGGUUUUGAUUGUAAACACUAGAUGUGAAAAAAAUCAUUUCCAUUUAUUAUUAUUCUUGAAGGAGAAUGAAUCAACAGAUAAAACUUACCAUGUACUACUUGCAUAUCUCUCACACACACACAUUAGUGUGAAUCAUAUUGGUAUUUUUAUUGCUUUCUUUUGAUUGAUUUGUAGAAUCAGAGCAUCUGACACAGUGUAGUCCAUCUUGAGUAUGUUCUUUCCUUGCAGUAUUAUUUCACGGUGACAUGAGAUCGAUCUAAUACACUAGCAGUACCAUUGUGUGUCUGAGAUCGUCGUUCUUCUACUGCAGGUGUUCAAAACAGAAGGUUUCGUUUGAUUGCUACUCGGCAUCAAGAGGCACAUGCAUUGCAUCCAACAGAAGGAGGCAAGGAGCUCUAAUUAUUGUUCAUCUGAUGUUUUUUGUUUGUUUGUUUGGUGAUAGGCGCUGGAAUGGUAACUGAUGUUCAGUUUCAAGCAUGUGCAUGUAUAAUUACAAUCAAACGAUCUUCGAUUUAAGGCUAAGCACUUUGGAUAUUAUGUGUUCAAACCUAUAGCAUCUCUUGACAGAUGUAAGAAUAUUUCUUUUCUGUCAUUACAGUAUCACUAUAUGAUUG